RNAcentral lists this long non-coding RNA (396 nucleotides) under Brassica napus (rape). RNAcentral describes it as "long non-coding RNA (BNAP_LNC002531)". The record is from RNAcentral. Lineage: Eukaryota; Viridiplantae; Streptophyta; Magnoliopsida; Brassicales; Brassicaceae.
AAAAGCUUGAGUAUAGAAAUGUUGAGGUGGUGUGGUGAUUGAUGUGCUGUGUAUAUCCCAGGAUGCUUUAAAGGCUUGUUUAGUGCUUUGAAGAAUAAAAUGAUUGCUCUAGUUCGGUCAUGAGUUUGCUAAGACACUAAAACUUAUUGUUUGAAUCUUGUACUCAUGAACUGAAAUUGAUUGAAUUAAUGCUGAGAACUGUGUAAUCCCGGAUCUAAUGAUGUUUGUCAGGAAGUUAGUAGACGUCUAAACCUGCUUGUGUUUCAUGAAAUGAAUCCGCUGGCUGUCUUACAUUGAAGCAUUAGAUUCAUGUCUAAGUGCUGAGUAAAGAAGCUCUUAAGAGUGCCUAAGUAACUUGUCUUGAAUCUGUUAGGAUCUUGCUUGUACUUAGAGAGU